Molecule: transfer RNA, 69 nt
Filed under: Belligobio pengxianensis
Lineage: Eukaryota; Metazoa; Chordata; Actinopteri; Cypriniformes; Gobionidae
Description: tRNA-Phe
Rfam family: tRNA
About the family: Transfer RNA (tRNA) molecules are approximately 80 nucleotides in length.
Source: RNAcentral
GCUAGCGUAGCUUAAUGUAAAGCAUAACACUGAAGAUGUUAAGAUGGGCCCUGAUAAGCUCCGCAUGCA